GACGAACGCUGGCGGCGUGCCUAAUACAUGCAAGUAGAACGCUGAAGGAGGAGCUUACUUCUCUGGAUGAGUUGCGAACGGGUGAGUAACGCGUAGGUAACCUGCCUGGUAGCGGGGGAUAACUAUUGGAAACGAUAGCUAAUACCGCAUAAGAGUAGAUGUUGCAUGACAUUUACUUAAAAGGUGCAAUUGCACCACUACCAGAUGGACCUGCGUUGUAUUAGCUAGUUGGUGGGGUAACGGCUUACCAAGGCGACGAUACAUAGCCGACCCGGGAAGGUGAUCGGCCCCACUGGGACUGAGACACGGCCCAGACUCCUACGGGAGGCAGCAGUAGCGAAUCUUCGGCAAUGGACGGAAGUCUGACCGAGCAACGCCGCGUGAGUGAAGAAGGUUUUCGGAUCGUAAAGCUCUGUUGUAAGAGAAGAACGAGUGUGAGAGUGGAAAGUUCACACAGUGACGGUAUCUUACCAGAAAGGGACGGCUAACUACGUGCCAGCCGCCGCGGUAA
Molecule: ribosomal RNA, 511 nt
Filed under: uncultured bacterium
Lineage: Bacteria
Description: partial 16S ribosomal RNA
Rfam family: Bacterial small subunit ribosomal RNA
Source: RNAcentral